This 79-nucleotide transfer RNA is filed under the name Rachicladosporium sp. CCFEE 5018. RNAcentral's name for it is "tRNA-Arg". It matches the Rfam family "tRNA". From Rfam's summary of the family: Transfer RNA (tRNA) molecules are approximately 80 nucleotides in length. Their secondary structure includes four short double-helical elements and three loops (D, anti-codon, and T loops). Lineage: Eukaryota; Fungi; Ascomycota; Dothideomycetes; Cladosporiales; Cladosporiaceae. The record is from RNAcentral.
UGGUCGGGUGGCCUAAUGGUAAGGCGUUGCUUUCCGGUUUAGUCUGGCAAAGAUUGCGGGUUCGAGUCCCGUCUCGUAA